AGAUUGAACGCUGGCGGCAGGCUUAACACAUGCAAGUCGAGCGGUAACAGAGAGUAGCUUGCUACUUUGCUGACGAGCGGCGGACGGGUGAGUAAUGCUUGGGAAUAUGCCUUUGAGUGGGGGACAACAGUUGGAAACGACUGCUAAUACCGCAUAAUGUCUACGGACCAAAGGGGGGGACGCUUCGGCACCUCUCGCUCAUAGAUUAGCCCAAGUGAGAUUAGCUAGUUGGUAAGGUAAAGGCUUACCAAGGCGACGAUCUCUAGCUGGUUUGAGAGGAUGAUCAGCCACACUGGGACUGAGACACGGCCCAGACUCCUACGGGAGGCAGCAGUGGGGAAUAUUGCACAAUGGGCGAAAGCCUGAUGCAGCCAUGCCGCGUGUGUGAAGAAGGCCUUCGGGUUGUAAAGCACUUUCAGUUGUGAGGAAAGGAGUGUAGUUAAUAACUGCAUUCUAUGACGUUAGCAACAGAAGAAGCACCGGCUAACUCCGUGCCAGCAGCCGCGGUAAUACGGAGGGUGCGAGCGUUAAUCGGAAUUACUGGGCGUAAAGCGUGCGUAGGCGGAUUGUUAAGUGAGAUGUGAAAGCCCCGGGCUCAACCUGGGAACUGCAUUUCAAACUGGCAGUCUAGAGUAUUGUAGAGGGUGGUGGAAUUUCCAGUGUAGCGGUGAAAUGCGUAGAGAUUGGAAGGAAUAUCAGUGGCGAAGGCGGCCACCUGGACAAAUACUGACGCUGAGGCACGAAAGCGUGGGGAGCAAACAGGAUUAGAUACCCUGGUAGUCCACGCCGUAAACGAUGUCAACUAGCUGUCUGUAGACUUGAUCUGUGGGUAGCGAAGCUAACGCGAUAAGUUGACCGCCUGGGGAGUACGGCCGCAAGGUUA
This 883-nucleotide ribosomal RNA is filed under the name uncultured bacterium. RNAcentral describes it as "bacterial SSU rRNA". It matches the Rfam family "Bacterial small subunit ribosomal RNA", at positions 26 to 896 of the family's 1533-position model. The record is from RNAcentral.